UACGUAGGGUGCGAGCGUUAAUCGGAAUUACUGGGCGUAAAGCGUGCGCAGGCGGUGAUGUAAGACAGUUGUGAAAUCCCCGGGCUCAACCUGGGAACUGCAUCUGUGACUGCAUCGCUGGAGUGCGGCAGAGGGGGAUGGAACUCCGCGUGUAGCAGUGAAAUGCGUAGAUAUGCGGAGGAACACCGAUGGCGAAGGCAAUCCCCUGGGCCUGCACUGACGCUCAUGCACGAAAGCGUGGGGAGCAAACAGG
RNAcentral lists this ribosomal RNA (253 nucleotides) under uncultured bacterium. RNAcentral describes it as "partial 16S ribosomal RNA". It matches the Rfam family "Bacterial small subunit ribosomal RNA", at positions 524 to 776 of the family's 1533-position model. The record is from RNAcentral.